UCCCUUACUCCUACGGGAGGCAGCAGUAGGGAAUCUUCCACAAUGGACGCAAGUCUGAUGGAGCAAUGCCGCGUGAGUGAAGAAGGGUUUCGGCUCGUAAAACUCUGUUGUCGGAGAAGAACGGGUGUCAGAGUAACUGUGACAUCGUGACGGUAUCAACCAGUAGCCUGCUGC
This 174-nucleotide ribosomal RNA is filed under the name uncultured Lactobacillus sp. RNAcentral's name for it is "partial 16S ribosomal RNA". It matches the Rfam family "Bacterial small subunit ribosomal RNA", at positions 329 to 497 of the family's 1533-position model. The record is from RNAcentral. Lineage: Bacteria; Bacillati; Bacillota; Bacilli; Lactobacillales; Lactobacillaceae.